This 460-nucleotide ribosomal RNA is filed under the name uncultured bacterium. Its description in RNAcentral is "partial 16S ribosomal RNA". It matches the Rfam family "Bacterial small subunit ribosomal RNA", at positions 338 to 795 of the family's 1533-position model. The record is from RNAcentral.
CCUACGGGAGGCAGCAGUGAGGAAUAUUGGUCAAUGGGCGUAAGCCUGAACCAGCCAUGUCGCGUGAGGGAUGAAGGUUCUAUGGAUCGUAAACCUCUUUUAUAAGGGAAUAAAGGGUGGUACGUGUCCUAUUUUGUAUGUACCUUAUGAAUAAGGAUCGGCUAACUCCGUGCCAGCAGCCGCGGUAAUACGGAGGAUUCGAGCGUUAUCCGGAUUUAUUGGGUUUAAAGGGUGCGUAGGCGGUCAUUUAAGUGAGCGGUGAAAUUCUGUGGCUCAACCAUGGAAUUGCCGUUGAAACUGGUGGGCUAGAGUAUGUUUGAGGCAGGCGGAAGGAGUGGUGUAGCGGUGAAAUGCUUAGAGAUCACACAGAACACCGAUUGCGAAGGCAGCUUGCCAAGCCAUGACCGACGCUGAUGCACGAAAGCGUGGGGAUCAAACAGGAUUAGAUACCCGGGUAGUC